Molecule: long non-coding RNA, 423 nt
Filed under: Pan troglodytes (chimpanzee)
Lineage: Eukaryota; Metazoa; Chordata; Mammalia; Primates; Hominidae
Description: long non-coding RNA NONPTRT010857
Source: RNAcentral
GGUUACUUUCCGCACCAGAAUCUAUCACUGCAACAUCAACAGUCAGGGAGUCAUCUGUCUGGACAUCCUUAAAGACAACUGGAGUCCCGCUUUGACUAUUUCAAAGGUUUUGCUGUCUAUUUGUUCCCUUUUGACAGACUGCAACCCUGCGGAUCCUCUGGUUGGAAGCAUAGCCACUCAGUAUUUGACCAACAGAGCAGAACACGACAGGAUAGCCAGACAGUGGACCAAGAGAUACGCAACAUAAUUCACAUAAUUUGUAUGCAGUGUGAAGGAGCAGAAGGCAUCUUCUCACUGUGCUGCAAAUCUUUAUAGCCUUUACAAUACGGACUUCUGUGUAUAUGUUAUACUGAUUCUACUCUGCUUUUAUCCUUUGGAGCCUGGGAGACUCCCCAAAAAGAUUGAAGUUUAUUAAUUGCUGAG